RNAcentral lists this transfer RNA (51 nucleotides) under Gloeochaete wittrockiana. RNAcentral's name for it is "partial tRNA". The record is from RNAcentral. Lineage: Eukaryota; Glaucocystophyceae; Gloeochaetales; Gloeochaetaceae.
UUUUAGUUCAGUUGGUAGGACGCAGGUCUCUAAAGUCUGAUGUCGUCGGUU